This 274-nucleotide transfer RNA is filed under the name Salmonella sp. Its description in RNAcentral is "partial 16S-23S ribosomal RNA intergenic spacer". The stretch from base 131 to 203 matches the Rfam family "tRNA". Lineage: Bacteria; Pseudomonadati; Pseudomonadota; Gammaproteobacteria; Enterobacterales; Enterobacteriaceae. The record is from RNAcentral.
UCAAGUCCACUCAGGCCUACCAAAUUCGCUCCCGUGCUUUGUUGUGGCAAAGCUCGCAUACUUCAGUAUGCUUCGCUUCACCACGCCGGGCCCGGAAACGAAUUGGGGAUGAGGUUUAACUACACUGUAUGGGGCUAUAGCUCAGCUGGGAGAGCGCCUGCUUUGCACGCAGGAGGUCUGCGGUUCGAUCCCGCAUAGCUCCACCAUCACUGUGGAACGUUGAUAAAAAAAUACUUCAGAGUGUACCUGAAAGGGUUCACUGCGAAGUUUUGCU